UUGCAUACUGACAUCUCUCCUCAAAGCUGCUUGAGACAUAAAGAGUGGAGUCACUGAGAUCGAGUCAAUUAAGCCUGUCUCUAAGACACAGUGGAGAUGGAUUUUUCACUUCUGUUUUUGGUGACCUUCUUUGUGUUGUUUGAAGAGUCCUGUGGAGAUAUCAUCAUGACUCAGUCUCCCUCAAGUCUCUCUGCACAGCCAGGAGAAACUGUCAGCAUGAACUGUAAGGCCAGCAGCUCCAUUACCAGUGGCAGCACUAACUAUCUUGCCUGGUAUCAGCAGAGAGCAGGAGAAACUCCAAAACUCCUGAUUUAUUAUGCAAGUACACUGCAGUCUGGGAUCUCAAGUCGUUUCAGUGGCAGUGGCUCUGGACUUGAUUAUACACUGACCAUCAGUAACGUGCAGUCUGAAGAUGCAGGACAAUACUACUGUCAGCAGCAUUACAGCUAUCCUCUCACACAGUGACACAGAGCUGUACAAAAACGUC
This is a non-coding RNA of Erpetoichthys calabaricus (reedfish), 487 nucleotides long. The record is from the annotation of a RefSeq genome assembly. Lineage: Eukaryota; Metazoa; Chordata; Cladistia; Polypteriformes; Polypteridae.